RNAcentral lists this ribosomal RNA (327 nucleotides) under Triticum aestivum (bread wheat). Its description in RNAcentral is "partial small subunit ribosomal RNA". The record is from RNAcentral. Lineage: Eukaryota; Viridiplantae; Streptophyta; Magnoliopsida; Poales; Poaceae.
AUGUACCCGCUCCUUCCAUGUCCCUCCAGACAGAGCUCGAUCCAGCCGACUCGGGCUCGUCCCACCGCUGCGCAAGGCCCAGCUCCUCCCGAGCCGGCUCCUCUCCACUUCGCCAGGCCCAGCCGAUGGCCAAAUCCGGCUCCGUGCACCCCAGCCCAUCACCUCCGAUGGCCCAAGGCCCAGGGUGAGCAGCCCCUGGUUUUUUUUCUCUAUUCGUUGGGCCAGCCUUCAUAUUUGGCCCAUAUCAUGUUUUUUCCAGCGCCUGCGAAUUUAGUAUUUGUUCCAGAGAACACAGUUUUACAGAAAAGUCCUUAUUCAUGCAUUUAA